GUUUGUCUCUUACAGAUACACUUACAUCAUGUCUCACUGUCUUAUGCAUUGGAGUCUGGAGCUUCGCCAGCAUGCAGUGAACCAGAGAAGCGGAGAGACGUCCCAGCGGCCCGCAGGCCUGACAACACCCUUCUAUCCCCCUCUGAAAUCUUUAUUUACUGCCCCCACACUCCUGCUCCCUCGCCGGGGCAAUUAAAGCACCGCUGUGUCAGACGGGGAAAGGCUGAAAUGUAAAGGGAUACCUUGAAUGCAAUAUGACUCUUGGAAUCAGACAGCGGUUAAAGUUUCGCGCUGAAGACGUGCAGACGUGAUCGCCAGAAUGUUGCACCUGAUUCCUGAACCCAGAGGAGAAUUUUAGCACUCGGAUGUUGCCCUUUUAAGGCUCCAGAGACUCCAAGGCAUCAUGAAAUUUACAUUAUUUACUUUUGCAAUACAUGUCUGUGGUCUCAUCGUGGAUGAUUCAUCAGUACAUGCUGUUUGAAAGGACAAAAAGGUUUGUCACUCGUAAAUACGUCACAUUAUGGAUGCAAAGCGGUCGUGAAUGGCGUAUCAAAUGUUUCGUUGGAAGUGUCAUUGAAGACAUCAAAAUACGCACAGUUCAAAUUGAGCUCAGCGUUGUUUGAGACAUUGUUUCAACUCUCUUCUCUUCUGGUUAUUUUAUGAUUUGAAUCUGAGGUCGUUUGUGAUCUUUCUUUAUUUGCAACAAAGCCCUUCCAAACUCAGUCGCUCACAGGUUGCUCAUUCACAGCUCAAAAACUUAAUGGAGAUCCCAGUUAUGUUUCGUGCGAGUAUAAACCUUGUUUUAAGAUGUUUCUCCUAAACUGCUCGGAAGAAAUAAAAAAUACACCCAAAUGAAUCAGUUUUUGAGUUCAUACUGAUAUAUCUGAGAACAGUUUGAGACAUUGUUGAGAAACUCUG
Molecule: long non-coding RNA, 918 nt
Organism: Carassius carassius (crucian carp)
Lineage: Eukaryota; Metazoa; Chordata; Actinopteri; Cypriniformes; Cyprinidae
Exons: 3
Source: RefSeq, a predicted model, not a curated record